This 500-nucleotide ribosomal RNA is filed under the name uncultured bacterium. RNAcentral describes it as "partial 16S ribosomal RNA". It matches the Rfam family "Bacterial small subunit ribosomal RNA", at positions 30 to 523 of the family's 1533-position model. The record is from RNAcentral.
AUUGAACGCUGGCGGAAUGCUUUACACAUGCAAGUCGAACGGCAGCACGGACUUCGGUCUGGUGGCGAGUGGCGAACGGGUGAGUAAUAUAUCGGAACGUGCCCAGUCGUGGGGGAUAACGUAGCGAAAGCUACGCUAAUACCGCAUACGAUCUAAGGAUGAAAGCGGGGGAUCGCAAGACCUCGCGCGAUUGGAUCGGCAGAUAUCAGAUUAGGUAGUGGGUGAGGUAAAGGCCCACCAAGCCGACGAUCUGUAGCUGGUCUGAGAGGACGCCCAGCCACACUGGGACUGAGACACGGCCCAGACUCCUACGGGAGGCAGCAGUGGGGAAUUUUGGACAAUGGACGCAAGUCUGAUCCAGCCAUUCCGCGUGCAGGACGAAGGCCUUCGGGUUGUAAACUGCUUUUGUACAGAACGAAAUGGUCUCUAUUAAUACUAGGGGCUCAUGACGGUACUGUAAGAAUAAGCACCGGCUAACUACGUGCCAGCCGCCGCCGUAA